This 490-nucleotide ribosomal RNA is filed under the name uncultured bacterium. RNAcentral describes it as "partial 16S ribosomal RNA". It matches the Rfam family "Bacterial small subunit ribosomal RNA", at positions 36 to 507 of the family's 1533-position model. The record is from RNAcentral.
CUUUCCCUCUGUCGGCAUGCUUUACACAUGCAAGUCGAACGGCAGCGGGGUAGUGCUUGCACUACUGCCGGCGAGUGGCGAACGGGUGAGUAAUAUAUCGGAACGUACCGAGUAAUGGGGGAUAACCAAUCGAAAGAUUGGCUAAUACCGCAUACGUCCUGAGGGAGAAAGCGGGGGAUCGCAAGACCUCGCGUUAUUCGAGCGGCCGAUAACUGAUUAGCUAGUUGGUGGGGUAAAGGCCUACCAAGGCGACGAUCAGUAGCGGGUCUGAGAGGACGAUCCGCCACACUGGGACUGAGACACGGCCCAGACUCCUACGGGAGGCAGCAGUGGGGAAUUUUGGACAAUGGGGGCAACCCUGAUCCAGCCAUGCCGCGUGUAUGAAGAAGGCCUUCGGGUUGUAAAGUACUUUUGUUAGGGAAGAAAAGGGAAGUGCUAAUACCACUUUUUGCUGACGGUACCUAAAGAAUAAGCACCGGCUAACUACGUG